This 253-nucleotide ribosomal RNA is filed under the name uncultured bacterium. RNAcentral's name for it is "partial 16S ribosomal RNA". It matches the Rfam family "Bacterial small subunit ribosomal RNA", at positions 524 to 776 of the family's 1533-position model. The record is from RNAcentral.
UACAGAGGUCUCGAGCGUUAGGCGGAAUCACUGGGCUUAAAGCGUGUGUAGGCGGAUUGGUAAGUACCUUGUGAAAUCCCACGGCUUAACCGUGGAACUGCUUGGUAUACUGCCUGUCUUGAGCCAGCUAGGGGCGACCGGAACAAAUGGUGGAGCGGUGAAAUGCGUAGAUAUCAUUUGGAACGCCAAUGGUGAAAACAGCUCGCUGGGGGUUUGCUGACGCUGAGACACGAAAGCCAGGGGAGCAAACGGG